This 544-nucleotide ribosomal RNA is filed under the name uncultured bacterium. RNAcentral describes it as "bacterial SSU rRNA". It matches the Rfam family "Bacterial small subunit ribosomal RNA", at positions 776 to 1308 of the family's 1533-position model. The record is from RNAcentral.
AAAUAGAUACCCCGGGGUAGUCCACGCUGUAAAACGAUGAGUGCUAGAUGUUAGGAGGGCAACCUCUUAGUGUCGCAGCUAACGCAUUAAGCACUCCGCCUGGGGAGUACGGUCGCAAAGAUUAAAAACUCAAAGGAAGUUGACGGGGGGCCCGCACAAGCGGUGGAGUAUGUGGUUUAAUUCGAAGCAACGCGAAAAAACCUUACCAGCUCUUGACAUGGGGGAUUAAGGAUUUAAGAGAUUAGAUCUGUCGGUUCGGCCGGAUCCCACACAGGUGCUGCAUGGCUGUCGUCAGCUCGUGUCGUGAGAUGUUGGGUUAAGUCCCGCAACGAGCGCAACCCUCAUUGUUAGUUGCCAUCAGGUUUGGCUGGGCACUCUAACAAACUGCCGAUGACAAGUCGGAGGAAGGUGGGAUGACGUCAAGUCCUCAUGGUCCCUUAUGGGCUGGGCUACACACGUACUACAAUGGUGGUGACAACAGGAAGCGACGGGGUAACCCUGAGCAAAUACCCAAAAAGCCAUCUCAGUUCGGAUUGUUCUCUGA